UGCUGUAUCGUCUAAUGGUAGGACAACAGAUUCUGAUUCUGUUUAUCUAGGUUCGAGUCCUGGUACAGCAGCCA
RNAcentral lists this transfer RNA (74 nucleotides) under Bacilli bacterium. RNAcentral's name for it is "tRNA-Gln". It matches the Rfam family "tRNA". From Rfam's summary of the family: Transfer RNA (tRNA) molecules are approximately 80 nucleotides in length. Lineage: Bacteria; Bacillati; Bacillota; Bacilli. RNAcentral also lists the same sequence under 1 other name. The record is from RNAcentral.